RNAcentral lists this ribosomal RNA (232 nucleotides) under uncultured bacterium. RNAcentral's name for it is "partial 16S ribosomal RNA". It matches the Rfam family "Bacterial small subunit ribosomal RNA", at positions 118 to 351 of the family's 1533-position model. The record is from RNAcentral.
UGAGUAACCUGCCCCAAACUCUGGGAUAAGCACUGGAAACGGUGUCUAAUACCGGAUACGAGCUUCAGCCGCACGGCUAGGAGUUGGAAAGAAUUUCGGUUUGGGAUGGACUCGCGGCCUAUCAGCUAGUUGGUGAGGUAAUGGCUCACCAAGGCGACGACGGGUAGCCGGCCUGAGAGGGUGACCGGCCACACUGGGACUGAGACACGGCCCAGACUCCUACGGGAGGCAG